GCCUACCGAUAACACUUAGAUGAAGUUUCAUAAUAUACAUUUAUGUGUUGUUCUUUAAUUAAAAUUGGAGUUUGCCUCGGUAACUAGUGUUAAUCUUUAUGGCAAAGCUUUGUUACACAAAUUUCCAAGGUUUCCUUGCCACUUCUGUUGGUUCAACUCUUUUCUUCAAUGCAAUAUCAGUCUUCAAUAUUCUUCUUUUCUGAUCACCAAGACGAGUCUCUAUCUUCAAGGUCUCCAACUCACAACAUUUUAACUGUUUUUGCUAUAAAUCAAGCAUGGUCUUGAGAAUAUUGACCUGUUCACAAAGCAAUUGUUUAUGCUGGUUUGAUGCUUCAAGCAAAGCUUCGGUCUUGACAUACUUGUCUGGGAGUUGAGCAAAUAUCAUUUUCUCCUCCUCAAAGAAUAUAUUCUCCAUAGACGGGAAAACGCCUAAGCAUGGGAGACAGAAUCAAUCAAUCUAAAUGAAGCUAAUCAAAGUGGACACAAACACAUAAAAUUCACGAAAUCAUACUCACAGCAGAAAAAUGGCUUAGGUGUGGGGAGUUUCAAACUUUGUGUUGGACAGAAGAAAAGAAGACGGCCAAGCCAACCUAUUGGACAAGAACCUGCAAUAAGAUCAAGAGAAUUCACACACAACUUCUUCGUCAGAUUCAGUUUUCAAAGUCUAUAUGCUUAAACUACUGUCAAUUUAUUUCGGUGAUCGAGAAAA
Molecule: long non-coding RNA, 709 nt
Organism: Glycine soja
Lineage: Eukaryota; Viridiplantae; Streptophyta; Magnoliopsida; Fabales; Fabaceae
Exons: 3
Source: RefSeq, a predicted model, not a curated record